AUUGAACGCUGGCGGCAGGCCUAACACAUGCAAGUCGAGCGGAUGAGGGUAGCUUGCUAUCUGAUUCAGCGGCGGACGGGUGAGUAAUGCCUAGGAAUCUGCCUGGUAGUGGGGGACAACGUUUCGAAAGGAACGCUAAUACCGCAUACGUCCUACGGGAGAAAGUGGGGGAUCUUCGGACCUCACGCUAUCAGAUGAGCCUAGGUACGAUUAGCUAGUUGGUGAGGUAAAGGCUCACCAAGGCGACGAUCGUUAACUGGUCUGCGAGGAUGAUCAGUCACACUGGAACUGAGACACGGUCCAGACUCCUCCGGGAGGCAGCAGUGGGGAAUAUUGGACAAUGGGCGAAAGCCUGAUCCAGCCAUGCCGCGUGUGUGAAGAAGGUCUUCGGAUUGUAAAGCACUUUAAGUUGGGAGGAAGGGCAGUAAGUUAAUACCUUGCUGUUUUGACGUUACCGACAGAAUAAGCACCGGCUAACUUCGUGCCAGCCGCCGCCGUAA
Molecule: ribosomal RNA, 500 nt
Filed under: uncultured bacterium
Lineage: Bacteria
Description: partial 16S ribosomal RNA
Rfam family: Bacterial small subunit ribosomal RNA
Source: RNAcentral